RNAcentral lists this long non-coding RNA (544 nucleotides) under Salmo salar (Atlantic salmon). RNAcentral describes it as "lncRNA (ENSSSAG00000110476.1, ENSSSAG00020046994.1)". Lineage: Eukaryota; Metazoa; Chordata; Actinopteri; Salmoniformes; Salmonidae. The record is from RNAcentral.
CGGGUAGUAGUGGGCCUAUUUGGAAACCUGAUCCUCUGCUCUGUCUCUCUCGGGACAAAUUUAGUCGGGAUAAAUGGAUCGUCAUGCAAAGGAGGACACACCGACACACACACACAAUGCUGUGAUAUUAACACUGUAUCCGCCUGGGUUAUUGAGGUAACAACCACACAAGUUUAUUGUGAUCCAGCUUGGAAAUCCUUUAUCUUUCGGGCUUCAUUUUUCUCCUACAGACUGUUGGCCCUAACAUCAGAGACGAUGACAGAGAUAUGUCUAUACCUGGACUGCUUCUCCGAGGAGAGGAAACUGUACACGGCAGAAUCACUGAACGACCUCCACAAGGUGAACGUGUGCUCCGACCCCAAGGACCUGCUGAAACUCAUAGCAGUCACAGCAAGGACACAAAUUAGAUGAGCUCUGGUAUGUCUCCACACCGCAUGCCACGGAGGAUGACAGAUAUUCUCAUGGGAAAUCACCAGGGUCCAGCCUGAUUUUCAGAUUUUUACAGCUGGGGGCAACUGACUCGCCCGUCUCCCCUCCACCCUCC